This 1497-nucleotide long non-coding RNA is filed under the name Malus domestica (apple). RNAcentral describes it as "long non-coding RNA (MDOM_LNC011824)". Lineage: Eukaryota; Viridiplantae; Streptophyta; Magnoliopsida; Rosales; Rosaceae. The record is from RNAcentral.
GUACGAUCGAUGUCUUAUAUGCAUUGAGGGUUUAUUUGAAAGAAAAGUAGAGCCCACAUAUACAUAAAUCUUCUACAUGACACAAACACAAUUGCUUAAGAAAUACAUACACAUAAUACACAGGAAAACACAAUGGAAAUGGAAGGCCUAAAACCAAAUACAGAAAGUAAAACAAACUUUAACUAACAUCAUAAUUAAGUUAACAACUAAGAAAGCCAAAUUAAGUGAGAGUGCCGCAGGAUCAUGAGGAUAAUAACCUUACAUAAUUAGUGAUUAAUUAUGACGAUCAUCACUUCUUCAAGAAUCCCUGAGCCACCUUAAGAUAAUCACCAAACCCACCUGAUCCACCCUCCUCCUCCUCCUCAUCCUUUUUACCAUGUUUCUUCUUAGUCUCAUGCUCUCCGCUCACCGGAUAGUUCUCAUCAUCGUCUCUUCUCUCCUUCCCCACACCAUGCUUAUGAGACUCGGAAGAGUAGUGGCCUCCUCCUCCAGAGUUAUGAGACUCAGAAGAGUAGUGGCUUCCUCCUCCGCCGCUUCCGCCGCCGCCGCUGCCGUACUUGUGAAGCAUAUCCUCAGCCCUUCUAACAUAACUCCCAAGUCCUUCUUUCUCGUCCAGCUUCCCAUAGUGCGCGGCAGCGCUUAGGAUGUUACUAGCAGCCUCCGAAACCCUAGCUCUGUCGAUCUUUUCCCCGCCGCCUUUGUUCAUCGAAGAUUUGGCUGCUUCCGCCACAAUCUUGGCACUAGACAUCAGCUCGCUCGUCGUCGGUGCAGCAUGUCCCGGCUUCCCGUAGUGGCCCUCCGGCUUCCCGUGGUGACCCUCAGCCGCGGAUUUUCUCUCGCCACCAUAUUGAUCUUCCUGGUCUUUGUCCCCAUAACCUCCGGACCGGUAGUGACCCUCAGUCGCGGAUUUUCUCUCGCCACCAUAUUCAUCAUCCUGGUAUUUGUCGCCGUAUCCUCCGGACCGGUGGUGACCCUCGGUCGCGGAUUUUCUCUCGCCACCAUAUUCAUCGUCCUGGUAUUUGUCCCCGUAUCCUCCGGACCGGUGAUGACCCUCGGUCGCGGAUUUUCUCUCGCCACCAUAUUCAUCCUCCUGGUAUUUGUCCCCGUAUCCUCCGGACCGGUGGUGACCCUCAGUCGCGGAUUUUCUCUCGCCACCAUAUUCAUCUUCCUGGUAUUUGUCCCCAUAUCCUCCGGACCGGUGGUGACCCUCGGUCACAGAUUUUCUCUCGCCGCCAUACUGAUCGUCCUGGUAUUUCUCCCUGUAACCUCCAGACCGGUGGUGACCCUCAGUCGCGGAUUUUCUCUCGCCACCAUAUUGAUCGUCUUGGUCUUUGUCCCCGUAACCUCCGGACCGGUGGUGACCCUCUGUCCCGGAUUUUCUCUGGCCAUCGUAUUGAUCAUCGUCGUCUUUGUCCCCGUAACCUAAGGAAGAGAAAGCUGAUGAAAGCCGAUCCAUCAGUGAGUGAAGAAAAGUAGAUCUACUGCUUUUGCUUUGUG